RNAcentral lists this ribosomal RNA (587 nucleotides) under Russula aff. rosea M-0141001. RNAcentral's name for it is "eukaryotic LSU rRNA". The stretch from base 113 to 266 matches the Rfam family "5.8S ribosomal RNA". The record is from RNAcentral. Lineage: Eukaryota; Fungi; Basidiomycota; Agaricomycetes; Russulales; Russulaceae.
CCAAGAGCAUCACCGCGUGGGACCCCUUUGCGGAGAGGGCCCGCGUUUUCACAUAAAACUUGACACAAUGUAGAAUGUCUUUCUUUUUUUUGCGGUCACACGCAAUCAAUACAACUUUCAACAACGGAUCUCUUGGCUCUCGCAUCGAUGAAGAACGCAGCGAAAUGCGAUACGUAAUGUGAAUUGCAGAAUUCAGUGAAUCAUCGAAUCUUUGAACGCACCUUGCGCCCCUUGGCAUUCCGAGGGGCACACCCGUUUGAGUGUCGUGAAAUUCUCAAAACCUUUUUCUUCGACCCUUUUAUGGUCGGGAAGAGGAUUUUGGACUUGGAGGUUUGAUGCUCGCUUUUGUGUCUUGAAAGUGAGCUCCUCUCAAAGGAAUUAGCGGGGUCUGCUUUGCCGGUCCUUGACGUGAUAAGAUGUUUCGACGUUUCGGACUUGGUACUGUCUCUUGGAUGCCUGCUUCUAACCGUCCAUCUCAUGGACAAUGAUGGUGCUCUGGUCUCCUCCAACCACAUUGGCGGGGAGGCUGGACCCACAAAAAAAACCUUGACCUCAAAUCGGGUGAGACUACCCGCUGAACUUAAGCA